GUGGGGAAUAUUGGACAAUGGGCGAAAGCCUGAUCCAGCCAUGCCGCGUGUGUGAAGAAGGUCUUCGGAUUGUAAAGCACUUUAAGUUGGGAGGAAGGGCAGUAAGUUAAUACCUUGCUGUUUUGACGUUACCGACAGAAUAAGCACCGGCUAACUUCGUGCCAGCAGCCGCGGUAAUACGAAGGGUGCAAGCGUUAAUCGGAAUUACUGGGCGUAAAGCGCGCGUAGGUGGUUUUGUAAGUUGGAGGUGAAAGCCCCGGGCUCAACCUGGGAACUGCCUCCAAAACUGCAUGACUAGAGUACGGUAGAGGGUAGUGGAAUUUCCUGUGUAGCGGUGAAAUGCGUAGAUAUAGGAAGGAACACCAGUGGCGAAGGCGACUACCUGGACUGAUACUGACACUGAGGUGCGAAAGCGUGGGGAGCAAACAGGAUUAGAUACCCCUGUAGUCC
This 450-nucleotide ribosomal RNA is filed under the name uncultured bacterium. RNAcentral describes it as "partial 16S ribosomal RNA". It matches the Rfam family "Bacterial small subunit ribosomal RNA", at positions 354 to 796 of the family's 1533-position model. The record is from RNAcentral.